GUCCACGCCGUAAACGAUGAAUGCUAGUUGUUGGAAAGUCUAACUUUUCAGUGACGCCGUUAACACAUUAAGCAUUCCGCCUGGGGAGUACAUUCGCAAGGAUGAAACUCAAAGAAAUUGACGGGGGCCCCGCACAAGCGGUGGAGUAUGUGGUUUAAUUCGACGCAACGCGAAGAACCUUACCAGGCCUUGACAUGGCUAGUAUGGGGCUAAGAGAUUAGCUCCUUCAGUUCGGCUGGCUAGCACACAGGUGCUGCAUGGCUGUCGU
Molecule: ribosomal RNA, 268 nt
Filed under: uncultured bacterium
Lineage: Bacteria
Description: partial 16S ribosomal RNA
Rfam family: Bacterial small subunit ribosomal RNA
Source: RNAcentral